Long non-coding RNA from Octopus sinensis (East Asian common octopus), 100 nucleotides. RefSeq lists it as uncharacterized. The transcript has 3 exons. The record is from RefSeq and is a predicted model, not a curated record. NCBI's taxonomy places the organism in Eukaryota, Metazoa, Mollusca, Cephalopoda, Octopoda, Octopodidae.
UAUAUAUAUAUAUAUAUAUGCAUUUAAAGGGAUAUAUAAUCCUGGUGGUUACAGUGUUUCCCCUUGAAUCGGUUUCAGAUGCCAGCGAACCAUAAUGUUC